GCGGGUGUGGUGGAAUGGUAGACACAUCAGACUUAAAAUCUGAAGGGCUUUGCCCGUGCGGGUUCGAGUCCCGCCACCCGUA
This 82-nucleotide transfer RNA is filed under the name Jannaschia donghaensis. It matches the Rfam family "tRNA". From Rfam's summary of the family: Transfer RNA (tRNA) molecules are approximately 80 nucleotides in length. Their secondary structure includes four short double-helical elements and three loops (D, anti-codon, and T loops). Lineage: Bacteria; Pseudomonadati; Pseudomonadota; Alphaproteobacteria; Rhodobacterales; Roseobacteraceae. The record is from Rfam by way of RNAcentral.